CCUACGGGGGGCUGCAGUGAGGAAUAUUGGUCAAUGGGCGCAAGCCUGAACCAGCCAUGUCGCGUGCAGGACGACUGCCCUAUGGGUUGUAAACUGCUUUUGUAUGGGAAGAAACGACGGUACGCGUACUGUUUUGCCGGUACCAUACGAAUAAGGAUCGGCUAACUCCGUGCCAGCAGCCGCGGUAAUACGGAGGAUCCGAGCGUUAUCCGGAUUUAUUGGGUUUAAAGGGUGCGUAGGCGGGAGAUUAAGUCAGUGGUGAAAGUUUGCGGCUCAACCGUAAAAUUGCCAUUGAUACUGGUUUUCUUGAGUACAGUUGAGGUAGGCGGAAUGUGGUGUGUAGCGGUGAAAUGCAUAGAUAUACCACAGAACACCGAUUGCGAAGGCAGCUUACUAAGUUGUAACUGACGCUGAAGCACGAAAGCGUGGGGAUCAAACAGGAUUAGAUACCCCUGUAGUC
Molecule: ribosomal RNA, 460 nt
Filed under: uncultured Alkaliflexus sp.
Lineage: Bacteria; Pseudomonadati; Bacteroidota; Bacteroidia; Marinilabiliales; Marinilabiliaceae
Description: bacterial SSU rRNA
Rfam family: Bacterial small subunit ribosomal RNA
Source: RNAcentral